UAUUUAUUGAGGAUAUCAAACAGUUACGGUUCAUGCUGUAGAUAUUUGUUGAUUCCUAUUAGACGUGAGAAUGGUAUUAUGGUCCCAACAUGACUAGUCAAUGAUCCGGUAUGCCAAGUGUGUUUUAUAUUGUCACGUUAUUUCAUGCACCUGGACCUGAUCUCAUUAGAUAUUGUUAAUCCUUUCUCAAAUAUCUCAAUACUUUUUUUAUUGUAUAUUCCCAAAAUAAUUUCUAUCAGCAAGGCCUAAUAAGGUCCCAGUUUUUGUUUUAAUUUUAUUUUCAAAUUUUUAUUUUUGUUUCUUAUGUUCCAAACUCCCAAGUGUAUUUUAAGAUAUCAUAGAUGUAACUGACUGAUUGAUUGUUUUAUUGUUAUAUUUUAGGUAUAGAUUAAUUGCAGAGAGACAUUUUUAGAUAUUUGAUACUUGAGAUUCUGACUUUUCAAAAUAGAUCACUCAAAAGAUGUAAACAUUGGUUAAAGAACAUCCAAUUUUUUAAAAUGAUACUAUGGUUUAUCUGUUAUAUCAUGAGAGAUUUACUAUAGUGAUCCAACAAAAAAUAGAUGGUCCCUAACUUUUCAGUAGUAUUUAUAAAUGUAUAAGAUCUAUUUUUACACUGUAUUUAGUUGAAAAUACCAUUUACAAUUUUUUAAAAUAUAUAACCCUCUCUCCCCUUAAUUGUUGCAAGAGCUGUUACCGGUAAAUACAGAGAUUAGGGUUUCAUUGCUCAUAUUUCAGUCACAGGUUUGUCUGGUUCAAACUUGAUUUACUCUGAUUUAGCCGGUGCUAAACAACAUACACUCGCUUGCUCCAUAACUUUGAGUUAACAGCUUUCACUGUGUGUCAUGGUUCACUAUUUGCAGUUACUGUGUUGUCAGCCAAUCAGAAACAUGCACUAUGUGACUGUGGCGACACAUAUGAUACACGUUGUACCAUAUACCCUUUACUGCUGUGAUAUGCAAGUGCAAUUGAUUUGACCAACCCUGCUUCCUGCCUUUCCACUGCUAGCAAGUAUAUUAUCCAAUCAGUUGUGUUCUACAUGUGUUUGAAGCUAACUGGCUUGCCAAAGGUAUGCAAGAAACAGCCUCGAUUAUCCAGCGUAUAAUGUCUACUUCCUGUUAUGAUAAAUACCCCUAACCCGAUCAAAUGUCUACUUCCUGUUAUGAUAAAUACCCCCGACCCGAUCAUAUGAUAGCUUUGUUGAGGAAGUGACAUCACUAUUUGAUCUCAUGAUAUACGUAUUUCACACAUGGACCGUUUAAUAAGUAACUUAUCUGUUUCUCACACUCAUGUGAAUAAUUUGAUUGGAUGGCUAUUUUUAGCUAUGCAUAUUUUAAAUGGGCUACGGUAGUGGACAGGUCAAGAGUAUUUAUCUCAAUAGUGUGGAGAUAUUUUUGUGCUGGAUUAUCACUGAUACGAGUGAAGACGUCACCUGGGUUUAUCAUUAUGUUAUUGUGGACAAUAUGUAUGUUGUGAGUCUCUUUCAAAGAGAUGUAAAGUGUGUUUCGUGAUGGCUUCAUGAAUAUAGUAAUAAUGUUUGUUGAUCAUUUUGUGUUUCUCAAACAUUUGAGGGAGGAAAGACUGAAUAUAAUUUCAAGUUUCACCAAGGCAGGUAAUUUUGAUUAUUGGUUUAUGUCAGAAGAAAACGGAAUGCCCCAGAAUGGUGGUUGAGCAAGAGAUCUGUUGAAAGGAUCAUGUGGAUCAGACAAAGAUGUUUCAAGAGUUAUGUUGACUGACCAACAGAUCUGUUAUAAGUUUUACCCUAUUUGCCUUAUUAGGUGCCCUCACCCAAAUACACCCUCUAACCUUUCCACCUGUCUUCAAGUAGUCUUUAUAAACAUCUGUUUACUACCUGGCCAUUGUUGUUUGGGAUGUUUGUGUCUUCAACAUGGAAUAUUUCAUAAAUAGAUUAUACGUGAGAUUUAUGGUAAAUUACAUUUAUUUAAAAAGGGCUUGGUAAUGUUUAUUUGUGAAGCCAACAACUACAGUUAUGUUUUCUGUUUUGGUUAUGUAAAUUGUUUCAGAUAUGUCAAUAUUUUGUUCACUUCACCAAUGCAUAAUAAUUCUCGCAUAAAGGUAAGAUUUAUGUCAGUCCAUGAGUCUCUGAAUACUAAAAACCAUAUGUGUUUAAAUUCCCAAAUGGGAUUACUUGAUAGAACUGGCCCCCUAGGCUAUAAUAAUGUGAGGAGCAAAUCAUCGAGCCGGACAGUUUUGAUCAGUGCUCAUGAGGUCAGUCACAGGAAUGGCUGGUCCAGAUUAUUUAGUCUAGUGUUAUAUAGCUGUAAUAUUGCCGUGUAUGGCUUUAAACAACAAACAUCUCCCCUAUUAACAAGUAACAAACCACUAGUACAGUGUAUGUGGAAAGUGAAAACAUUGUGGUCCAUCCUAGAGAUGGUCAUCAUGGGGACUCCAUUCUAUGGUUUCCACCAAUCACCAACUGAAAUGUGACCUUGUUGAGGGCUGGGGGACCAGUAAUACUGACUGAUUCACUAAGGGUUAAUACAUAAUCAGGGUUCUUGGGCCACAAUGUGUUGUCCAGACUUACAGGUGCUGAUUGUCACGAUAUGGCUGAAAUACUGCCGAUGUUACUAAAAUCUUAACUCACUCACUACAAGUGCUGCUGUUUAUGUAGACGUUCUAAACAUAAUCAAGAAAGAUUGUCUCAGGGACCAACCAUUUCAAAUUCUGAUAGACACAGGUGGAAUCUAAAGGAUAUUUAAUAUCUGAAUAUAUGUUACACAAACUACUUCAAAAUGAUAAUUCGACCAUUUUACAAUGUGGAUGUCCUGGAGAAGCAUUAGUUGAUGACACAAGACUGUUUCAGAUGCAAAUUAUGUAGAAUGUCUGAAACCAGUGACAGAAAACCAUUAAUGACAACAAUCCAAACUACAUGUGUAGUUAAAUUGUCAGUCAUUAGUACCAUCAGUGUAUUUUGUUUUCUAAACCAAAGUUCAGGGUGAUGGAGAGUGUUACAUUCAGAGUUGAAUGGAUAUUUUCAAGCAGUGCCGGUCUAAGAUGGAGGCUACAAGAUUUAUGAUUUUUUAAAUGCCAGGAAGUCCCGAGUUGUAUUGGUUAUGAACCUGUUUUUUUUUGUACAGUUUCUUUUAUGUAUUUGAUUUUAUGCCUGUGUUUUGACUUUGUGUUGUGAUGUUUUUAGGCUUUUAGUUUUGUUAGAGUAUUUUUGAUAUGAACAAAACCAACUGUUGAGCUAUUUUUGGGAGUAGUUGUGUUUCUAUAAUAUUUUAAUGUUAGUUCUUGAGGCAGCUGAUUUUUAUAUUAAUGCGAAAUUAAUCAGAAUACAGAACUGUAGUAAUUACUUCAUUAAUUACAUUUGCCCUUAAUUGAAGAAUGCCUGUUUGGAUUAAGACUGGUAUCAAGUUUAAUCAUAAGUUGCCAUAGUAACAAUUUAUUUUUGACCAUGUUUCACAUAUACAGAUCAAACCCUGACCUGAGUAUAAGACACUUUGUUUACACGACUUCUGUGAGAUCUCUGUGUGCUUUAUGUCCCAUACAACAUAAAAUCAAUCAGGUACUUUAGACGAAACUAUAAAAUGCAUUCACUACCGGUUUCCUAGACGCUAAAAGUGUGAAUAGUAUAAAAGAAUCAAACUCUGAAAGCACAACUGUUUGCUACUGCCAGGUGCGGUCGUCACCAUGUGCUUGAACACCACACACAACAGGUGAAACUACAAGGACAAGACAAGCUUAACAAACACUGCUUUCUUGGCAACAUAUUCAGAUAAGUUUUCGCAAAGAAGAAAAACAUGAUCAUAAAUGUCUGGUAUUUUGUUGACGUGAGUCAAGGAUGAAAGAUGUCUUAAGGAAGGGGCAAAUAAGAAUAAAAUUUUUUAUGACAUUCAAAAAAUUACUUUGGAGGUAUAUUUUCCCUCAUAUUUUGUUUAAAGGUGUAUGUGAAGGGAUGGAUUGAACAAUCAGUUCAUUACACAUAUUGGUACUCAAGUUCGACUUGUCAAAGAUCAUCAACAUUGUUGGGUCUUUUAGACUAAUGCUUAGUCUCUGAAUAUAUAUGUAUAAUUUUGAUUGUAACAAACAAACCCAUUUAAAUU
RNAcentral lists this long non-coding RNA (4064 nucleotides) under Haliotis rubra (blacklip abalone). Its description in RNAcentral is "uncharacterized LOC124257666". Lineage: Eukaryota; Metazoa; Mollusca; Gastropoda; Lepetellida; Haliotidae. The record is from RNAcentral.